RNAcentral lists this unclassified non-coding RNA (481 nucleotides) under Hevea brasiliensis (rubber tree). The record is from RNAcentral. Lineage: Eukaryota; Viridiplantae; Streptophyta; Magnoliopsida; Malpighiales; Euphorbiaceae.
GGCUUAUCCCUUCUCCACCUGUAUUGAAAUCUAAUAAUGCUCCUCAACUACUGAAAAAGAAAGGAAAGAGGGAAAAUUAAGCAUCAACUUAUCUUCUACUUACCUAUCCCACAAAAGAGGGAAAAAAACCCCUUUCCAUUUUACCAAUUUUCACAUGUUUUGUAGUCUCUGAUUGUGUCUAUAUUUGUGUAUGCUUUGAAAAGGAGGACUGACUGGCAGAUGCGGAGAACAGAAGAAGAGGGAGUUUAAAAGGAAAGAGAAAAGAAAAGGCUAGGCUUGAGUUGUGUUGCAGAAAUGAUGAUUCAAAGAUUGGAGAUGUGCAUACAAUUUAUAAGACUGGCGUUGGAAUUUGUUAUCAUUGUAGCUGAAGCAGUUGGAUUUGUGAUUGAGCAGAAUACUUCUCAUCAACUUUCAAGCCAACAUUUUCCUGCUCCUGCUCCAUUUGUUGGUAUUCUUCCAUGAAAAUGGCUCUCCAUCUCUG